GAUGAACGCUGGCGGCGUGCUUAACACAUGCAAGUCGAACGAAGCACUUUUACAGAUUUCUUCGGAAUGAAGUUUUAGUGACUGAGUGGCGGACGGGUGAGUAACGCGUGGGUAACCUGCCUCACACAGGGGGAUAACAGUUGGAAACGGCUGCUAAUACCGCAUAAGCGCACAGUACUGCAUGGUACGGUGUGAAAAACUCCGGUGGUGUGAGAUGGACCCGCGUCUGAUUAGCUAGUUGGCAGGGCAACGGCCUACCAAGGCGACGAUCAGUAGCCGACCUGAGAGGGUGACCGGCCACAUUGGGACUGAGACACGGCCCAAACUCCUACGGGGGGCAGCAGUGGGGAAUAUUGCACAAUGGGGGAAACCCUGGUGCAGCGACGCCGCGUGAGCGAAGAAGUAUUUCGGUAUGUAAAGCUCUAUCAGCAGGGAAGAAGAAAUGACGGUACCUGACUAAGAAGCACCGGCUAAAUACGUGCCAGCAGCCGCCGUAA
Molecule: ribosomal RNA, 497 nt
Filed under: uncultured bacterium
Lineage: Bacteria
Description: partial 16S ribosomal RNA
Rfam family: Bacterial small subunit ribosomal RNA
Source: RNAcentral